CUACGGAGGGUGCAAGCGUUACUCGGAAUCACUGGGCGUAAAGCGCGCGCAGGCGGCUAUUUAAGUUGGAUGUGAAAGCCUACGGCUCAACCGUAGAACUGCAUCCAAAACUAUUUAGCUAGAGUGUGGGAGAGGAAGAUGGAAUUAGUUGUGUAGGGGUAAAAUCCGUAGAGAUAACUAGGAAUACCAAAAGCGAAGGCAAUCUUCUGGAACACUACUGACGCUGAGGCGCGAAAGCGUGGAGAGCAAACGGGAUUAGAUACCCUAGUAGUCC
Molecule: ribosomal RNA, 274 nt
Filed under: uncultured bacterium
Lineage: Bacteria
Description: partial 16S ribosomal RNA
Rfam family: Bacterial small subunit ribosomal RNA
Source: RNAcentral